This 939-nucleotide ribosomal RNA is filed under the name uncultured bacterium. Its description in RNAcentral is "bacterial SSU rRNA". It matches the Rfam family "Bacterial small subunit ribosomal RNA", at positions 8 to 916 of the family's 1533-position model. The record is from RNAcentral.
AGAGUUUGAUCAUGGCUCAGGACGAACGCUGGCGGCGUGCCUAAUACAUGCAAGUCGAGCGCGGGAAGCAGGACUGAUCCCUUCGGGGUGACGACCUGUGGAACGAGCGGCGGAUGGGUGAGUAACACGUGGGUAACCUACCUGUAAGCUCGGGAUAACCCAAGGAAACUUGGGCUAAUACCGGAUAAAGCUACUUAUCGCAUGAUAAGUAGAUGAAAGAUGGCUCUGCUAUCACUUACAGAUGGACCCGUGGCGCAUUAGCUAGUUGGUGGGAUAAAAGCUCACCAAGGCAACGAUGCGUAGCCGACCUGAGAGGGUGAUCGGCCACACUGGGACUGAGACACGGCCCAGACUCCUACGGGAGGCAGCAGUAGGGAAUCUUCCGCAAUGGACGCAAGUCUGACGGAGCGACGCCGCGUGAGCGAUGAAGGUCUUCGGAUCGUAAAGCUCUGUUGUUAGGGAAGAACAAGUAUCGGAGUAACUGCCGGUACCCUGACGGUACCUAACCAGAAAGCCCCGGCUAACUACGUGCCAGCAGCCGCGGUAAUACGUAGGGGGCAAGCGUUGUCCGGAAUUAUUGGGCGUAAAGGGCGCGCAGGCGGUUAUUUAAGUCUGAUGUGAAAUCUUGUGGCUUAACCACAAGCGGUCAUUGGAAACUGAAUAACUUGAGUGCAGAAGAGGAGAGUGGAAUUCCACGUGUAGCGGUGAAAUGCGUAGAGAUGUGGAGGAACACCAGUGGCGAAAGCGGCUCUCUGGUCUGCAACUGACGCUGAGGCGCGAAAGCGUGGGUAGCGAACAGGAUUAGAUACCCUGGUAGUCCACGCCGUAAACGAUGAGUGCUAGUGUUAGGGGUUUCCGCCCCUUAGUGCUGGAGUUAACGCAUUAAGCACUCCGCCUGGGGAGUACGGCCGCAAGGCUGAAACUCAAAUGAAUUGACGG